RNAcentral lists this transfer RNA (73 nucleotides) under Schaedlerella arabinosiphila. RNAcentral describes it as "tRNA-Ile". It matches the Rfam family "tRNA". From Rfam's summary of the family: Transfer RNA (tRNA) molecules are approximately 80 nucleotides in length. Their secondary structure includes four short double-helical elements and three loops (D, anti-codon, and T loops). The record is from RNAcentral. Lineage: Bacteria; Bacillati; Bacillota; Clostridia; Lachnospirales; Lachnospiraceae.
GGGAGCGUAAUUCAGUGGUAGAAGAUACGUCUUAUAAGCGGAUUGUCGGUGAGUUCGAUUCUCCCCGCUCCUA